RNAcentral lists this long non-coding RNA (393 nucleotides) under Capsella grandiflora. RNAcentral's name for it is "long non-coding RNA (CGRA_LNC000511)". Lineage: Eukaryota; Viridiplantae; Streptophyta; Magnoliopsida; Brassicales; Brassicaceae. The record is from RNAcentral.
AAUCCUCUGUAUCACAGUCUAUACUAAUACAGUGGAACUCAAAAAAUAAAAAAAAUUGAAAUAUAGAAGAAGAGUAGCUACCACUCCACUCUUCUCCUCUCUCUCUCUCUUUAACUCUCUCUCUCUCUAUACAUACGCCAUUGUUAUUACAAUCGAAGCUUCAAGUUCUGUUUCUCUGUUUUACUUUUGUUGUUGAAGAAGAAGAAGAGAGGAUGGAGAAAAACACACCGGUGAGGAAACUGAACAUGUCGACGGCGGAUCUAUUAACUUGGCCGGAGAAUCAACCGUUUGAUUCUUCCGCCGCCGUUUUUUCUUCUCGCUCCGCCGUUAGAUCGCACCAGGUACUUGAUUACGCGAUCUUAGCCGUCGGAUUGAUUUUAUUUUACAAAUCAC